Molecule: ribosomal RNA, 636 nt
Filed under: Microbacterium sp. So2Ps_912
Lineage: Bacteria; Bacillati; Actinomycetota; Actinomycetes; Micrococcales; Microbacteriaceae
Description: bacterial SSU rRNA
Rfam family: Bacterial small subunit ribosomal RNA
Source: RNAcentral
CCUGAUGCAGCAACGCCGCGUGAGGGAUGACGGCCUUCGGGUUGUAAACCUCUUUUAGCAAGGAAGAAGCGAAAGUGACGGUACUUGCAGAAAAAGCGCCGGCUAACUACGUGCCAGCAGCCGCGGUAAUACGUAGGGCGCAAGCGUUAUCCGGAAUUAUUGGGCGUAAAGAGCUCGUAGGCGGUUUGUCGCGUCUGCUGUGAAAUCCCGAGGCUCAACCUCGGGCCUGCAGUGGGUACGGGCAGACUAGAGUGCGGUAGGGGAGAUUGGAAUUCCUGGUGUAGCGGUGGAAUGCGCAGAUAUCAGGAGGAACACCGAUGGCGAAGGCAGAUCUCUGGGCCGUAACUGACGCUGAGGAGCGAAAGGGUGGGGAGCAAACAGGCUUAGAUACCCUGGUAGUCCACCCCGUAAACGUUGGGAACUAGUUGUGGGGUCCUUUCCACGGAUUCCGUGACGCAGCUAACGCAUUAAGUUCCCCGCCUGGGGAGUACGGCCGCAAGGCUAAAACUCAAAGGAAUUGACGGGGACCCGCACAAGCGGCGGAGCAUGCGGAUUAAUUCGAUGCAACGCGAAGAACCUUACCAAGGCUUGACAUACACGAGAACACCCUAGAAAUAGGGGACUCUUUGGACACUC